Molecule: long non-coding RNA, 679 nt
Organism: Aphis gossypii (cotton aphid)
Lineage: Eukaryota; Metazoa; Arthropoda; Insecta; Hemiptera; Aphididae
Exons: 4
Source: RefSeq, a predicted model, not a curated record
UAUGAACUAUUCUACUAUUCUUAAAUGAACAGUCGUCAGAUAAAGUACAUCUUUAAUAUAUAACAAUAGUAUUCUCAAUAUUUGUUCAUAAAAUACUUCAUAAUUACUUCUAUUUUGAAGUGUGAUGAAGAUGAAAAAAUAACUGUUUCUUCGGCGUUUAUGCAGCACGUCUGGACUGUAGAUAAAUGGCAAAGAUUUCACGGGAAGUUUCGACGUUUGCUACAAAUUACUGUUUCUUCGGAGGUGGUGCACCGCUUUAAAGGCUGUUGACAAGGCACAACUCGGGUUUAAGGAAAGAUUCGACGACUACUUACCAGUAAUAUAGCAUGGAUGAUCCAAUUAGUCAUGGAACCAAAUUCAGAUACCGACGUCAGUUGAAAACCUUUAAGAAAAGCCAAAUCUUUAAACUAUUUAAUAGAAUGUUCAAAUUAACCAGGACAAGGAGUCAUAUAAAUUGAAACAAAAACAAUCGAAGUAAAAAACAUGACAAAUAACAACUCAAAUUUUACAAUAAACACAACACCAAUGAAACCUUUAUUUAUAAUAAAAAGUAUGUCUGAUUUUCAUACAAUUGCGUUUGUGUUUACCUGCUGUAAUUGCUAAAAUAAUGAAAAUGAUACUGAUAUACACUUACAUCAUGUAAUGAAUAUAUUUUUUUUCAAAUUUAAACGAACUUAUA